UACGGGAGGCAGCAGUGGGGAAUUUUGGACAAUGGGCGAAAGCCUGAUCCAGCCAUGCCGCGUGCAGGAUGAAGGCCUUCGGGUUGUAAACUGCUUUUGUACGGAACGAAAAGCCUCUUUCUAAUAAAGAGGGGUCAUGACGGUACCGUAAGAAUAAGCACCGGCUAACUACGUGCCAGCAGCCGCGGUAAUACGUAGGGUGCAAGCGUUAAUCGGAAUUACUGGGCGUAAAGCGUGCGCAGGCGGUUUUUGUAAGACAGAGGUGAAAUCCCCGGGCUCAACCUGGGAACUGCCUUUUGUGACUGCAAGGCUGGAGUGCGGCAGAGGGGGAUGGAAUUCCGCGUGUAGCAGUGAAAUGCGUAGAUAUGCGGAGGAACACCGAUGGCGAAGGCAAUCCCCUGGGCCUGCACUGACGCUCAUGCACGAAAGCGUGGGGAGCAAACGAGGGAUUAGAUAACC
Molecule: ribosomal RNA, 459 nt
Filed under: uncultured bacterium
Lineage: Bacteria
Description: bacterial SSU rRNA
Rfam family: Bacterial small subunit ribosomal RNA
Source: RNAcentral